Molecule: non-coding RNA, 1177 nt
Organism: Ciona savignyi (Pacific transparent sea squirt)
Lineage: Eukaryota; Metazoa; Chordata; Ascidiacea; Phlebobranchia; Cionidae
Source: Rfam
GGCUCAUUAAAUCAGUUAUGGUUCAUUUGAUCGUACAGUUUACUUGGAUAACUGUGGUAAUUCUAGAGCUAAUACAUGCGAGAAGCGCCGACCUCGCGGGAGGCGUGCAUUUAUCAGACCAAAAACCGGCCGCGUCUUCGGGCGCGUUCGCCUUGGUGACUCUGGAUAACUUUGCGGAUCGCACGGUCUAGCACCGGCGACGGAUCAUUCAAGUGUCUGCCCUAUCAACUUUCGUCGGUACGGUAUUUGCCUACCGAGGUUCUUACGGGUGACGGGGAAUCAGGGUUCGAUUCCGGAGAGGGAGCCUGAGAAACGGCUACCACAUCCAAGGAAGGCAGCAGGCGCGCAAAUUACCCAUUCCCGACGCGGGGAGGUAGUGACGAAAAAUAACAAUGCAGGACUCGUUCGAGGCCCUGUAAUUGGAAUGAGUACACUUUAAAAGCUUUAACGAGUAUCCAUUGGAGGGCAAGUCUGGUGCCACCAGCCGCGGUAAUUCCAGCUCCAAAAGUAUAUAUUUAAGUUGUUGCGGUUAAAAAGCUCGUAGUUGGAUUUUGGGCGCAGGCGGCCGGUCCGUCGCAAGGCGUGUACUGGACGUCCUGGCCUUCCCUCCGGUUCUCCGCCGGUGCUCUUGACUGAGUGUCGGCGGCGGCCGGAACGUUUACUUUGAAAAAAUUAGAGUGUUCAAAGCAGGCUCUCGAGCCUGGAUAAUGGUGCAUGGAAUAAUGGAAUAGGACCUCGGUUCUAUUUUGUUGGUUUUCGGAGCGCGAGGUAAUGAUUAAGAGGGACAGACGGGGGCAUUCGUACUGUGCCGUUAGAGGUGAAAUUCUUGGAUCGGCGCAAGACGAACGACUGCGAAAGCAUUUGCCAAGAAUGUUUUCUUUAAUCAAGAGCGAAAGUCAGAGGUUCGAAGACGAUCAGAUACCGUCCUAGUUCUGACUAUAAACGAUGCCAACUAGCGAUCGGGGGGCGUUACAUUGACGACCCCUCCGGCAGCUUACGGGAAACCAAAGUCUUUGGGUUCCGGGGGAAGUAUGGUUGCAAAGCUGAAACUUAAAGGAAUUGACGGAAGGGCACCACCAGGAGUGGAGCCUGCGGCUUAAUUUGACUCAACACGGGAAAUCUCACCCGGCCCGGACACAGUGAUGGAUUGACAGAUUGAGAGCUCUUUCUUGAUUCU